ACUCAAAUGAAUAGACGGGGGCUCACACAAGCGGUGGAGCAUGUGGCUCAAUUCGAAGCAACGCGAAGAACCUUACCUGGGUUUGACAUGCAUGGAUUAACUCCCGGAAACGGGAGCCACAAUCGCAAGAUCGGAACAUGCACAGGUGCUGCAUGGCUGUCGUCAGCUCGUGCUGUGAAGCGUCGGGUUAAGUCCUCUAACGAGCGCAACCCCUGCCGCUAGUUACCAUCGGGUUAUGCCGGGGACUCUAGCGGGACUGCCGGUGUCAAACCGGAGGAAGGCGGGGAUGACGUCAAGUCCUCAUGGCCCUUACAUCCAGGGUUGCACACGUGCUACAAUGGUGCAUACAAAGCGACGCGAGACCGCGAGGUGGAGCAAAUCGCAAAAAAUGCACCCCAGUUCGGAUUGCAGGCUGAAACCCGCCUGCAUGAAGCCGGAAUCGCUAGUAAUCGGGGAUCAGCUACGCCCCGGUGAAUGUGUUCCUGAGCCUUGUACACACCGCCCGU
RNAcentral lists this ribosomal RNA (506 nucleotides) under uncultured bacterium. RNAcentral describes it as "partial 16S ribosomal RNA". It matches the Rfam family "Bacterial small subunit ribosomal RNA", at positions 899 to 1397 of the family's 1533-position model. The record is from RNAcentral.